This 30-nucleotide non-coding RNA is filed under the name Homo sapiens (human). The record is from RNAcentral. Lineage: Eukaryota; Metazoa; Chordata; Mammalia; Primates; Hominidae.
CCUGCCUGCGUAUGUAAUGGUGGCUGAUGG